CGGCGGGGAGCGGGGGGAGCGAGCGGGGCCGGUCCCGGGACAGCGCCGGGAGCCCGGGGCAGACCGGGAGCUCUGCGGGGACAGGGACCCCGGACCGGGGCGGGAGCCGGUCCCGGUAUAGCCCGGUGACCGCAGACUGGGGGCUGCCGGGCUAUACUGGGGUAUAUACACUGGUAGCGACCGGUGACCCCAAACUGCGCGUGGGCCUCUCCCGGUAGCGCCCGGUGACCGCGGGCCGCGUUCCGGUGCCGUGCCCCGAUCGCCGUCCCAGGACACACCAGCGACUGCUGUCCCCCGUACGGAGCGGGGACCACCAGCACCUCCCGGUCCGGGCCGGGGGCUCCCCGGUGACCCCCCCGCCGCUCCCGGGUCCUGCCUGUGCCGGUCCCGCGGCUCCGGAGACCCGCGGCCAUGGGUGAGCGCAAGGGCACCAACAAGUACUACCCGCCCGACUUCGACCCAGCCAAGCAUGGCUCCCUCAACAAGUACCACCACAGCCACCCCCUGCGGGAGCGCGCCCGGAAGCUCUCCCAGGGCAUCCUCGUCAUCAGGUUCGAGAUGCCCUUCAACAUCUGGUGCGACGGGUGCCAGAACCACAUCGGGAUGGGUGUCAGGUACAACGCGGAGAAGAAGAAGGUGGGGAACUACUACACCACCCCCGUGUACAGGUUCCGCAUGAAGUGUCACCUGUGCGUCAACUACAUCGAGCUGCAGACGGACCCCGGGAACUGCGACUACGUCAUCGUCAGCGGGGCCCGGCGCAAGGAGGAGCGCUGGGACCCCGGGGACAGCGCCCAGGUCCUGCCCACCGCCCCGGAGCAGCGGGAGCGCCUGGCCCUGGACCCCAUGUUCCGCCUGGAGUACGGCGUGACGGACAAGGAGGUCCUGGAGCGCGCCACCCCCACCCUGACGCGGCUGCAGGAGGCUCAGGACGCCUGGAAGGACGACUUCGGCCUCAACAGCCGCCUGCGGAGGCGAUUCCGGGAGGAGAAGAAGACGCUGCGGGAGGAGGAGGAGGAGGCGGCGGCGCUGCGGGCGCGGGCCGGGCUCAGCAUCCCGCUGCUGCGGGAGGAGGAGGAGGAUCGGCGCCUCGCUGCCCUGCUCACCCUGCGCGCCCCGGACUCCUACGAGGAGAAGCAGCGGCUGAAGCGCUCCGAGAUCUCCCAGCGCCCCUGGUUCUCCCCCGGCACGGCCCGAGCGGCCGGGGGGGCCCUCCAGAAAUUGGGUCUGGGGGCGGCGAGAGCGCCGAGGACACCCCCGGGCCCCCCCCCGACCCCCGCCGGGCUCGGCAUCGUGCGGCGCCGGGCGGGCGAGGAGGGCGGGGGGACCGAGGGGCCGCCCCCAGCACCCCGGGGGACCCCCGAGGCCGGGCCGGAGCCCCCCGGUGCCGCCCCCCAGGCCGGGGAGGCCCCCCCGGACCCCCCCGGUGCCGCCCCCCGCCCCGUCCCUCGUCGCCGACUACUCGGACUCGGGCUCCGAGAGCUCCUGAGCGCGGUUUUGGGGGCCCGGACCCCCCCCAAACCCCGGGCUGAGGGGGGCGCCGAGCCCCCUGCCCACCCUCAGAGAGCCCCCCCUGUAAUUUAUGCCCCCCAAAUUAAAAGCCGUCGGUGGCGAACGCUGCGUGUCCCGUGUCCCCCGCGCCGCCCCGGGGCGGUCCCCGCCGGUGGGCGCUGCCCCCGGAAGGGGCGGGCGCUGUCGCGGGCGCUGUCGCGAUGGCGCUGGAGUCGCUGCGGUACCGGCGCGGCUCCCUGGAGGUGCUGAACCAGCGGCUGCUGCCGGGGCAGCUCCGCUACGAGCGGGUGGGGGGCGUGGAGCGCGCCUGGGGCGCCAUCCGCGACAUGGAGCAUCAUUGAGUACAUCGAGGGGCUCCUGGAGAAGGACCGGAGGGACAACCGGAGCAUUGGGGCGCACGGGGCGAGCCACAUCCUGGGGAGGGUCCCGGGGGGCGGUCCCGUCACCCUCCUGACCCACUGCAACACCGGG
RNA transcript from Prinia subflava (tawny-flanked prinia), 1983 nucleotides. It is a transcript of the gene named methylthioribose-1-phosphate isomerase 1, with no coding region annotated. The transcript is spliced from 10 exons. The record is from RefSeq and is a predicted model, not a curated record. Lineage: Eukaryota; Metazoa; Chordata; Aves; Passeriformes; Cisticolidae.